Molecule: long non-coding RNA, 2077 nt
Filed under: Malus domestica (apple)
Lineage: Eukaryota; Viridiplantae; Streptophyta; Magnoliopsida; Rosales; Rosaceae
Description: long non-coding RNA (MDOM_LNC018185)
Source: RNAcentral
CCGGAAUCAUCAUCUUCAUCGGUUUCUUCCAUCUCGGGCAUUGUCAAUGGAUAGUGAUCUCUGCAAAAUCCUUGUCAAAUAUACAAAUGCGGAAUGUUGAAUUCCCUUCAUAUCCGAAAACUAACGAAUGACAGCAGUCUAGAGAGUAAAACUUUGAGAACUUUGGCCAACCCUCGCCGAACCAGACCUCACCCUCCCAUAUUCUGAAUUAUAUUUUCCACUCUGAACCAGUUGGAAGCUUAAUAAAUACUGGAUUCGAAAGAUCAUCUCCAUAUUUCCUAAAAAAUUUGUUUGGAAUCCUCUGCACAACACAGAACUUAUCACGAAACUCUUUGUUUAGUGAAAACAAUUAUCGGAUCUUUGUGGCUAUGAAAUAUAUGGGUACAUUAACUGCAUCAAAUCCCAUUAAGUCAGACUCUUCAUUGUGAGAGGGGUUAAAUACUUUGGUGCCAUUUGAUAACCAUUUCAUUUUCAUCAAGGUAUUGAAGAGAUUUCAUGUGACAAAUGCUGCUUGGAAGACUCUCAAGUUCUCUGCAAUCAUUCAGCCUCAGAGUAACAAGAUUGGUGAGAUUUAAAACUGACGCAGGCAGCUCCUCAAUUGCAGUGCCACCCAAAUAAAGCUCAGACAACAUAUUCAUAACCUCUGAAAUUUCUGGAAAUUUCUCAAAGUUUUGAGGACCCAGAAACACAAGGUAUUGAAGAGAUUUCAUGUGACAAAUGCUGCUUAGAAGACUCUCAAGUUCUCUGCAAUCAUUCAGCCACAAGUGUAACAAGAUUGGUGAGAUUUAAAACUGACGCAGGUAGUUCCUUAAUUGCAGUGCCACCCAAAUAAAGCUCAAACAACAUAUUCAUAACCUCUGAAAUUUUUGGAAAUUUCUCAAGUUUUGAGGACCCAGAAACACAAGGUAUUGAAGAGAUUUCAUGUGACAAAUGCUGCUUGGAAGACUCUCAAGUUCUCUGCAAUCAUUCAGCCUCAGAGUAACAAGAUUGGUGAGAUUUAUAACUGACGCAGGCAGUUCCUUAAUUGCAGUGCCACCCAAAUCAAGCUCAGAUAGCAUAUUCAUAACCUCUGAAAUUUCUGGAAAUUUCUCAAGGUUUGAGGACCCAGAAACAUCAAGGUAUUGAAGAGAUUUCAUUUGACAAAUGCUGCUUGGAAGACUCUCAAGUUCUCUGCAAUCAUUCAGCCUCAGAGUAACAAGAUUGGUGAGAUUUAAAAUUGAUGCAGGCAGUUCCUUAAUUGCAGUGCCACCCAUAUAAAGCUCAGAUAGCAUAUUCAUAACCUCUGAUAUUUCUGGAAACUUUUUAAGGUUUGAGCACCCAGAAACAUCAAGGUAUUGAAGAGAUUUCAUUUGACAAAUGCUGCUUGGAAGACUCUCAAGUUCUCUGCAAUCAUUCAGCCUCAGAGUAACAAGAUUGGUGAGAUUUAAAAUUGACGCAGGCAGUUCCUUAAUUGCAGUGCCACCCAAAUAGAGCUUAGAUAGCAUAUUCAUAACCUCUGAAAUUUCUGGGAACUUCUUAAGGUUUGAGCACCCAAAAACAUCAAGGUAUUGAAGAGAUUUCAUGUGACAAAUGCUGCUUGGAACACUCUCAAGUUCUUUGCAAUCAUUCAGCCUCAGUGUAACAAGAUUGGUGAGAUUUAAAACUGACGCAUGCAGUUCCUUAAUUGCAGUGCCACCCAAAUAAAGCUCAGAUAGCAUAUUCAUAACCUCUGAAAUUUCUGGAAACUUCUUAAGGUUUGAGCACCCAGAAACAUCAAGGUAUUGAAGAGAUUUCAUGUGACAAAUGUUGCUUAGAAGACUCUCAAGUUCUCUGCAAUCAUUCAGCAAUAGCGUAAGAAGAUUGGUGAGAUUUAAAACUGACGCAGGCAAUUCCUUAAUUGCAGUGCCAUCCAAAUAAAGCCAAGACAGCUUAGUCAUAACCUCUGAAAUUUCUGGAAACUUCUCAAGAUUUGAGCAUCCAGAAACAUGAAGGUAUUGAAGAGAUUUCAUUCGACAAAUGCUGCUUGGAAGACUCUCAAGUUCUCUGCAAUCAUCCAGCGUCAAUGUAACAAGAUUGGUGAGAUUUAAAACUGACACAG